CAUUUAUUUUAAUUUCUAAAAAUCAAAUAAUCACAAUUGUAAAGGUAUUAAUUUUUUCCCUUUCAGAAUAAACCAUGUCUACUUCAGGAGCUUAUGUCUUCACUGUCAGAAAAAAGAAGGCUCUACUGCUGGCACUCUUUUGGAAGACUCUAGAGGUUCCUGUGGUCCUCUCAUUAGCCAUACUGCAGCCAGGGAAAUGACAGCCACAGAAGUACUGAAGAUUGAAUAGGAUCUGAGAAACUCCACAACUGAAUUGUCUGGUGAAUCCCACAACAAUGGUAAUAGAAUUUUCAAAAAGUGAGUAAAUUUUUCUCCAUUUCUUUCACUAGUUAGAUAUAGUACAUAUUACACAUAUGUAUAUUUACAUUUCACACAUGGCUUGUGUUUUAGUACACGUGAGUAUAUUCAGGAGAACCUUUGAAAGAAUGCAUUCAAACUCUAAGGGGAGGAAAUAUCUCUGAUGGAGGAAAAAUGGAAUUACUCAAGUUCUUGUUGAGGAAGGAUAAAGGGAUAUCAAGAUGGUGGACUCAUUGAGGAUUUGGGGGAGGGGUAAAGUUGCUAUAAAAGGAAACUACCAUUUGCAUUUGGAAGUACAGGAC
RNAcentral lists this long non-coding RNA (599 nucleotides) under Phascolarctos cinereus (koala). RNAcentral describes it as "lncRNA (ENSPCIG00000011014.2)". The record is from RNAcentral. Lineage: Eukaryota; Metazoa; Chordata; Mammalia; Diprotodontia; Phascolarctidae.